Long non-coding RNA from Gorilla gorilla gorilla (western lowland gorilla), 397 nucleotides. RefSeq lists it as uncharacterized. NCBI's taxonomy places the organism in Eukaryota, Metazoa, Chordata, Mammalia, Primates, Hominidae. The record is from RefSeq and is a predicted model, not a curated record. The transcript is spliced from 2 exons.
UUGUGCAUAUGUCUUCCAAAAACUCAGCUGAAGGUAGCUAACUUUAGAACGGCAGCGAGCAUAACAUGUGGUGAGUAGAGAGAAGAAAGAUGCUGAACAAAUCAGGCACCAUCCUAGAAUCUGAAGAAGAAAGAAAUAUUGAGUACAGGAAUCAGCCCCAGGUCCUUCUCAUUCUGAUGAAGAAUCAGCAGGUCAGUGUGCUCAGCCUAAGCUAUGACAUGAUGUGCAUGGUUUCCUUGUGACUGUGUUUAGAGAGGAGAAGCUCACACAAUGAUAAAUGUUCGGGCCUGCCACUGACUGAAUGGAGCCUGGUGCCUGAGGACAUAUACCAUAAAUCAAUCAUUCUGUCAUAAGAGUUGUAAGUUAUACCCUUCUUCAAUAAAAGACACAAGACAUU